UAGUAUAUAUUCUAUCUGCGGCAAAACCCACUACUGGUGUCACUAGAGUCUGUUUUGGUAAACGCAUUCAGAAUGUCUAACUCAAGAACUUUUCUAGAUCUUUUUGUCUAAAAGUGCAUAAAAUGCCAAACGGCGUGUUAAAAGUGCGGUUACCGUUGGCCGUCGGCGUUAGCGAAUAAAAGACGCCACAGACAAAUCGAACUCGUUGGAAGCAACAUAAGUUAAUUGGCUUUGAUAUUAAAUAAUUUCACACCAGAACUUCAACAAUCAAGGGCGUGUUAUUGUUUCCCAUACGGGGCGCGCACACGACGCCUGGAAGCCAUUCUAUGCUCGCGCAGCAGGUAUACUGACAGCAGCAGGAGCGAAACGCCGGCGUUGCACAGCGGUGUCACAGAGCCACCGCGCUGCGAUUACUUCGGCGACACAAUCCAAAUUUGUCCGACAUCUCAUUCUGUGCUGGAAACACUGGGAGGCAGGAAGUUUGAAAAAACGGCCACUGCCGCCCGCAAUGUUUCGGUCGUGGGCUGGUCGUGGGUUCGUUAUGCCAGUUGUGCGUCAUUCUAAGCCGUUCUGUACAUUUAUACUGGAUAUUAAUUGGAGUCAUUUAGCUGUGCUGAUGCUGUUUGCCGUGUGUUUUGCGUCAGUGCUUCGUGACAUCGGCUGUAUUGCGUGUUUUCGCCGACGGCUUACUACCACAAUGGCGGGAUCUGCGUUCGCCGCCUUCGUGUCUCGGUGCGUCUUUGUACGUCGCACGUUCGGAUAACACUUUUUCCGACAGCUGGACAUCCUUCUUGUACCUUGGCGCUAGCUGGAUGACGGGACAUCAUGAUCAGUGUAUUCCUUGCCUAUGUCUACAAGAACCGUCACGCGUGGCCUGUGACAGCAAGCUUUUGUGGGCAGCAAGUGCUCUCCUACGAAGGCUGGCCUACUCUGGCAGCGGCGGCAAUCAUCUUCAAGAUUUAUCCAUAAUCACCUUUGCUGCUUUUUGUCACUCUUGUUGAUUACACUUUCUGCGUCUUUUCUGAUUUAUUAGGUAAUAAAGUAUGAGUAUGUGA
Molecule: long non-coding RNA, 1055 nt
Organism: Dermacentor andersoni
Lineage: Eukaryota; Metazoa; Arthropoda; Arachnida; Ixodida; Ixodidae
Source: RefSeq, a predicted model, not a curated record